AACGAACGCUGGCGGCGUGCUUAACACAUGCAAGUCGAACGGGAAGGCCCGGCUUUGUUGGGGUGCUCGAGUGGCGAACGGGUGAGUAACACGUGGGUAAGGUGUCCUUGACUGUGGGAUAACUUCAGGAAACUGAGGCUAAUAGCGGAUAGGAGCUACUGCUUCAUGGUGGGGGUUGGAAAGUUUAGGCGGUUGGGGGUGGACUCGCGGCGUAUCAGCUUGUUGGGUGGGUAGUGGAUGACCAAGGCAUGGACGGGUAGCAGGCCUGAGAGGGUGACCGGACACAUUGGGACUGAGAUGCGGCCCAGACUACUACGGGAGGCAGGAGUGCAGAAUAUUGCACUAUGGGCUGAAGCCUGAUGCAGCACAGCAGUGUGGCGGAUGACGGGCUUCGGGUUGUAAACCACUUUCGCUUGAGACGAAGCGUGAGUGACGGUAAUGGGUAAAGAAGCACCGGCUAACUACGUG
Molecule: ribosomal RNA, 468 nt
Filed under: uncultured bacterium
Lineage: Bacteria
Description: partial 16S ribosomal RNA
Rfam family: Bacterial small subunit ribosomal RNA
Source: RNAcentral